Macaca mulatta (Rhesus monkey) is the source of this 321-nucleotide non-coding RNA. Lineage: Eukaryota; Metazoa; Chordata; Mammalia; Primates; Cercopithecidae. The record is from RefSeq and is a predicted model, not a curated record.
CAAGCGAUUCUCCUGCCUCAGCCUCCCAAGUAGCUGGGAUUACAGCCUGUCGAAGUUAUUCAUCCUUCAACACUGAGGCAGAAAUGCCACCUCUUCUUAGAAGCCCCCCAGUCUCUGGCCCCCUCUUCUCCCAGCAGCAGCACACAGCAUGUGAAGAGCCCCCUCCCAUGCAUCUGUGCCUCUCCAGGGCCUCUCCAGGGUGCGCCACUGGAUACCUGCCCUGAAGGUUUGGCUCCUAAUCAAUGUAGAAUUAAAAAAACAAAUGAUGGCUCAUGUAGACAUUACAUGCCUUAUUAAUAAAUGUGAAUAUUUCAAAUUUAA